Long non-coding RNA from Vicia villosa (hairy vetch), 622 nucleotides. RefSeq lists it as uncharacterized. The transcript is spliced from 3 exons. The record is from RefSeq and is a predicted model, not a curated record. NCBI's taxonomy places the organism in Eukaryota, Viridiplantae, Streptophyta, Magnoliopsida, Fabales, Fabaceae.
UCUUAAUAAAAUAUUCACGUGAGAAACAAAAACAAUAUAGUCACCAUUUUCAUUAAUAUUAUUACUUUUAAAAAACAAAUAUCUCUCUCAUAAUGAUCAUGGUCUUUAUCUCUCAUUAUGACCUCACAUUAUUUCUCACAUAAAGCAACAAAAUUACACUAAUUAUUUUCAGCAAAAAAAGUUAAUCAAAGAAGAAGCAAAGAACAUAGGCGGAGCACAUGAACUCACGGCGGCUCGCAUAAAGCUCAUGGCGGCCGGAGCUUCUCCGGCGCGGUGGCCGGAGAAAUUAGCAAUCAAAGGAUGGAAUCGUUAUCAGAGGCUGAUUCUCAACCUUUCAGUGUCAAGUAACGAAACAAGGGCGGAGGAGACGGCUCCGGCGCGGUGGUCGGAGUUCCGACGGUGGUUUCCGGUCAGUUGAAAGAAAAGCAUGGAUGAAAUCUUGAAGAUUAUUGAGCUUGAAAGAUUCAAAGGAAGACAUGAGCAUGGACAUGGAGAAAUAUUGAAGAAAAUGGUGUGGACUUGGAAUAUUUUGAAUUUCCUUAUGUAAACAUAAUGAUGUAACUUUGAGAAUCCGUCCACCUUGUAAUUUGGAAUGAGUUAUGAACUUGAAUGGACUUUCUUG